GGACCCGCACAAGCGGUGGAGUAUGUGGUUUAAUUCGAUGCAACGCGAAGAACCUUACCAGGGUUUGACAUCCUGCGAAUCUCUUGGAAACGAGAGAGUGCCUUCGGGAGCGCAGUGACAGGUGGUGCAUGGCUGUCGUCAGCUCGUGUCGUGAGAUGUUGGUUAAGUCCCGCAACGAGCGCAACCCACGUCUUUAGUUGCCAGCAUUUAGUUGGGCACUCUAGAGAGACCGCCGGUGAUAAACCGGAGGAAGGUGUGGAUGACGUCAAGUCAUCAUGCCCCUUACAUCCUGGGCUACACACGUGCUACAAUGGUAGGUACAGAGGGAAGCCACCCCCGCGAGGGGGAGCGGA
RNAcentral lists this ribosomal RNA (353 nucleotides) under uncultured bacterium. RNAcentral describes it as "bacterial SSU rRNA". It matches the Rfam family "Bacterial small subunit ribosomal RNA", at positions 917 to 1271 of the family's 1533-position model. The record is from RNAcentral.